AAGGUUGGCUGGUCUCUAAGCGACCCAGCUGGGGAAACUGAGUCUCGCGAUGAGCAACACCGGGCUGGCUGGAGGCAGCGCAGAGAAGGCUGCAGUUCUUCUGUUCCCUCGGUUUUAUUCGGAAGCUUGAAGUUCUCUGGUCUGUGCGGGGCUGAGCUAGCCGCGGGUGGUGUCAGGGUGCGGAGGGCAUGAGGUGUGAGGGUUUUCUUUAAAAGUUUGAGACAAGGUCUUAUUCUAAAUCGCUUCCUAAUGCUGACAGUACAAGUGCCACAAUGCCUCGCAAGUGUAUGUGAGAGAGCCAGCGAGCAUGGAGGUUGGAGAACAACCUGUGGGAGUUCUCUUCUUCCACUGUUCGGCGCUCGAACGUCGAACGCAAGUGGUCAGGUUCGACCUAACCAUCUCGCUAUCCUUUUUUUCUUCUUUUCUUUUUUAAAUACAAGGCCUCCAUAUCUAUCUAUCUAUCUAUCUAUCUAUCUAUCUAUCUAUCUAUCUAUCUAUCUAUCUAUCUAUCUAUCUACCUACCUACCUACCUAUCUCCUGGACUUGUUUUGUACCCAAGUUUGGUAUCCAAAGUGCGCCACCACCUGGCAAGGGUAACAAUAAAGUCAUCCAGCAAGAAUUUGCGGAGAUGGUAUGUAGUAGUACAAAUCUCAUCCCCAGACUUUUGUGGGAUUUCUGAUUAUUGCUUUAGGUCUGGGCACGGUGUCACAGCGCCCAGGCAGUGGAAAAGGAGGAUCCGGAGUUCAAGCCUUCUUUAUUACACCAAGAUAUAUUAAUGAAACCGUCUCCAGAGAGAUUCCAAAUCGUGCUGGUAGCUUAGUUCCGUGGUAGUGUUUCCCUGGCAUGCACAAAGCUGUGUGCAUUCCCGGCACUGAUACAAGAAUAAAUAAAAGCUCCGAAACAGAGUCUUGCUUUAUUGCUAGUACCAGUUUAUAUCUUGGCAAGUCCCUUCGCGUCUCCGGUUAGUGUAUCUUUGAGGAUUAGAGGAACUAAACUGAAAACCUGCAAAGCUCCCAGCCAAGACCUGAUAUGUAAAGAUUGGGGAAAUUAUAACAUGGUUAAAGUGCACAUGACCCUUUGCCUACAGUCCCAGACAGACCGCUAGCAUCUAGAUCAGAACAAAGCAGACGAUGUUGGGUUUGUGUGAUGAGUUGACCAAACUGACCAAUUGGAGCCCUUUCUUUGCCAAGCUCCAUUCAGCAGCUGCCCAUUUUUCCAGCAGUUUCUCAAUUGUUCAUGACUUGAUGCUGAUAGAAGAGGUACUCAAGGUACUGUAAUGAAAGCUGGGCGUGGUGGCGCACGCCUUUAAUCCUAGCACUCGCGAGGCAGAGGCAGGCGGAGUUCGAGGCCAGCCUGGUCUACAGAGUUCCAGGACAGCCAGGGCUAUACAGAGAAACCCUGUCUCGAG
Molecule: long non-coding RNA, 1408 nt
Filed under: Mus musculus (house mouse)
Lineage: Eukaryota; Metazoa; Chordata; Mammalia; Rodentia; Muridae
Description: long non-coding RNA chr2:39005270-39006678
Source: RNAcentral